Molecule: long non-coding RNA, 378 nt
Filed under: Homo sapiens (human)
Lineage: Eukaryota; Metazoa; Chordata; Mammalia; Primates; Hominidae
Description: HSALNT0031221
Source: RNAcentral
CCGAUCUUGGCUUACUGCAACCUCUGCCUCCCAGGAGGAUCACUUGAGACAGAGCCAGUUCCUUCCUCUAAAAAAAUACUAAAAAUGAAAUGGGGAGUCACUGUAUUGAUAGUAUUUGAAGCCACAGAACAGUAUGCAACAGCUAGGGAUUUUGCAUGGGAUUAAGAAUUUCUUUGGAGGAAAUAAUUACGACAACAUUUCUCUUAGUUUGUCAGUUCAAGAUUCUGUAUCAUUAGUUGUUUUUAAAAGCCAUCUGCUUUCGAUAGAGGACUUGUCUUCCAAAAACUUUUAAGAUACUGGAAUCAAACCUUGCGCUGAAUCUUCAUACUACCCACAUCAAAUUUGGUUGUCAUGCUUUCCAUGUCAAAUUUGCUUGUG